RNAcentral lists this ribosomal RNA (488 nucleotides) under uncultured bacterium. RNAcentral's name for it is "bacterial SSU rRNA". It matches the Rfam family "Bacterial small subunit ribosomal RNA", at positions 28 to 507 of the family's 1533-position model. The record is from RNAcentral.
GAUGAACGCUAGCUACAGGCUUAACACAUGCAAGUCGAGGGGCAGCACAGUGUAGCAAUACACGGGUGGCGACCGGCGCACGGGUGCGUAACGCGUAUCCAACCUUCCCGUUACUCUUGGAUAGCCUUCCGAAAGGGAGAUUAAUACAAGAUGGUAUUCAAAUUUCGCAUGUUAUUUGAAUUAAAGAUUUAUCGGUAACGGAUGGGGAUGCGUGACAUUAGGUAGAUGGCGGGUAACGGCCCACCAUGCCUACGAUGUCUAGGGGUUCUGAGAGGAAGGUCCCCCCANACUGGAACUGAGACACGGUCCAGACUCCUACGGGAGGCAGCAGUGAGGAAUAUUGGUCAAUGGACGAGAGUCUGAACCAGCCAAGUAGCGUGCAGGAUGACGGCCCCUCUGGGGUUGUAAACUGCUUUUAUACGGGAAUAAAACACCUUACGUGUAGGGUCUUGUAUGUACCGUAUGAAUAAGCAUCGGCUAACUCCGUG